This is a long non-coding RNA of Musa acuminata AAA Group (dessert banana), 881 nucleotides long. RefSeq lists it as uncharacterized. The transcript is spliced from 3 exons. NCBI's taxonomy places the organism in Eukaryota, Viridiplantae, Streptophyta, Magnoliopsida, Zingiberales, Musaceae. The record is from RefSeq and is a predicted model, not a curated record.
GCUCGAUGAUCGCGAAGACGGAGGAGGUAUGUGAGCUGCUUCCUCCAGUAUUGCCUUGUGGUUUGAGGGUGGGAGCUGACGGAACAAAUCAGAGGGACGAGGAGGGUGAUCAUUUGCCCCUGUAUGCCAACAAGGUAGAUUUUGAAGAAUAUGCUGCAAAAGCUAAAACUUUACCUGUAAAUACUACUAACAAGAGCAAAUUGAUCCUGUAUGGGCUUUACUAGCAAGCAACUAUUGGACUAGUAAAUACUACUGACCUGGUAUAUUCAAAAUGAGGGAUAGAGCCUGGGAAGCUUGGAAGGCUGGUGAAGGUUUACAAAAUCCACUUGACAAAUCUUAUAUAUAUUAAUAUAAAUAAAUAUAUAUAACUUGUUGGACAAAAUUUAUUUCUUAUUUAAUAUUAGUAAAAUUGACAAGGGAGGAAGCCAAAGGAGGAGGCUAUGAGUGACUACCUCACCAAGGUUAAACAGCUGCUCGAGGCAGCUGCUAUUGCUGCUUAUGCUACUUUGUCACAUCUUGCUCUAUGUAGUACCAUGUAUGCUGUUACCUUCUAUCUUGAACUUGAAUCAUCUAGUGGAUGUAUUAGUUAUGGAUUUCAUCUCCUUUGUGUCUUAACAAUUGACACUUUCUGAAAUCUAAUGCAGUAUCUUAUCAUUUCAUUAGUGUUUCAUUCGAGUUAAGAUGCAUGCGGAUGUGAAGAUUUUAGGUCAGCAAAGCUAAGCAUGGGCAUGUUGAAUGAGCAUUACCUGCAGCCCAUAUAUUUAGUGAAGAUUCAUUGAUUCCCAGUAAGACUGUAAAUUGUCUGUUAGGUUCUGUUCAUUUUUCUCUUCGGUCCUACAUGCUAGAGAUCUUUUAUCUUUGUUCAGUUUCUUCCCCGUAAA